UCGAUAAUGCAGUUUAACUGUUACUUUAUUAGUUUUAUUUUAGAAUUGCCUUGGAUCUCAUUUUUUUAUUUCGUUGUUUAUGAUCGUGUUUUUGUUGCGGCGCCGCGUUUUAGAAUCUACUAUUUUUCUUCUUCAAGAUAAUCAACAUUGAAAUGGGAAAACCACUCACAGAUAUUGAAAUCACGGAUAUCUUAAAAUAUUACGGUGAAAGAUGGUCAAUUUACCGAAUAUCGAAGAAAAUUCAGCGUAGUCGUGCUGUGGUAAAACGCUUACUUACUGAUCCCUCAGAUUAUCUGAAUAAAAAGAACCGCGGGGGUACUGCAAAACAGAUGGCAAUUUCUAAAUACUUAAUAAAAAUUGAGGAUCGACAAAUAGAUGAGGAAUGUUAUGCAGAUGAUGAGCUUUCGGAGGGAGCAAGUACUUUAGUUGGUUCGGAAAAAAUACCAAAUAAGAUAUUUUUUAAAUUGCCAAUGAAAAAACAUAUACGAAAGAAGUUUGAAGAGUAAUUUUACUUUCAGUAUUUUCGCUAUAUGUAUCUAUGUGUGUCUGUGAAAUGUGUAAUGAAUAAACUGUCCCUCUAAGAGCUA
Hermetia illucens (black soldier fly) is the source of this 587-nucleotide long non-coding RNA. RefSeq lists it as uncharacterized. NCBI's taxonomy places the organism in Eukaryota, Metazoa, Arthropoda, Insecta, Diptera, Stratiomyidae. The record is from RefSeq and is a predicted model, not a curated record. The transcript is spliced from 2 exons.